Long non-coding RNA from Chelonia mydas (Green sea turtle), 533 nucleotides. RefSeq lists it as uncharacterized. The record is from RefSeq and is a predicted model, not a curated record. NCBI's taxonomy places the organism in Eukaryota, Metazoa, Chordata, Testudines, Cheloniidae. The transcript is spliced from 3 exons.
GAGGAGAAUCUUUCUCUCCCUCCACGUUAUUCCCACCCCUUGGUGCAAACGCCACUGACCCUAACAGCCCCCGGGCUUGCCUUUGCCUUGAGCGAGAGUCCGCAGCAGGCAGGUUAUUAGAUGGCUCCAGGUGGUCAGCAUGAUUCAACCUGCAUAACAUAAAAUUAUCUACGGGACAUGUAGAAUAUUAAACAAAAUGCAGCAGUCACACUCGAACCUCACCCUGAAACCUUCCGCUUUGGGAGGAGUGAGUGGAUUUGCAUUUAGUGACCAACACAUGCAAUCUGCCAAGGGGAGAGUGCAGAAAAUGCCAGGGCUACUGCAACCCUCACACUACUGUACCAGCCACAGAGUGUCUCCACUACUUCUUCACAGCGUCGGUAGAGGAUUCCAUGCCCUCAGGUCCUAAGGGCACAAUCGGUUUACUUGAUAGAAGUCAAGGAAAUAGACCCUUUCAUUCAAUCAAGGCUGAUCAUACUUAGAAUUCAGAUGCUCUCUGUGCUUAUCAGACUACUUCAUGCAGUGUUCCUAUA